This 246-nucleotide transfer RNA is filed under the name Pneumocystis jirovecii. RNAcentral's name for it is "tRNA-Pseudo(ATA)". The record is from RNAcentral. Lineage: Eukaryota; Fungi; Ascomycota; Pneumocystomycetes; Pneumocystales; Pneumocystaceae.
AAUAUGUUAGUAGAAUUAGUAUAUAUAUUAAAAAUUAUAAUAUUCUAUAUUAUUUAAUUUAUUGAAUUAUCUAAUUCAAUAUAUCUAAUUUACUAUUUUCAUAACGUCAUAUUUAUAUUUUAUAUUGCUAAUCAUGUUAAAUAAGUUAUAUAUAUAUAAUUAUAUAUAUAUAACUAUUUCUACUUAAUUUUAAGAUUAUAAAAAACUUUUUAUAAAUAUUUUUAAAAUUAAAAUUUCUACGUUUUA